RNAcentral lists this ribosomal RNA (253 nucleotides) under uncultured bacterium. RNAcentral describes it as "partial 16S ribosomal RNA". It matches the Rfam family "Bacterial small subunit ribosomal RNA", at positions 524 to 776 of the family's 1533-position model. The record is from RNAcentral.
UACGGGGGGGGCAAGCGUUGUUCGGAAUUACUGGGCGUAAAGGGCUCGUAGGUGGCCAACUAAGUCAGACGUGAAAUCCCUCGGCUCAACUGAGGAACUGCACGGGAUACUGGAUGACUUGAGUUCGGGAGAGGGAAGCGGAAUUCCGGGUGUAGCGGUGAAAUGCGUAGAUAUCCGGAGGAACACCGGUGGCGAAGGCGGCUUCCUGGACCGACACUGACGCUGAGGCGCGAAAGCGUGGGGAGCAAACAGG